UCUCCGUAGGUGAACCUGCGGAAGGAUCAUUAUUGAAUGAAACCCUUCUGGCUUUAUGCUGUUGUGCUGGCCCUUUGGGCAAUGUGCACACGGCUCUGGUCACUUGUUUCUUCUGUUCCACCUGUGCACUGCCUGUAGACACGCUGUGUCUAUGAUAUUUGUUAACACACAACAAUGUUAGUUGGCAUGUUAUAUAUAAUAAUAAAAUAUACAACUUUCAACAACGGAUCUCUUGGCUCUC
RNAcentral lists this unclassified non-coding RNA (241 nucleotides) under plant metagenome. RNAcentral describes it as "partial contains small subunit ribosomal RNA, internal transcribed spacer 1, and 5.8S ribosomal RNA". The record is from RNAcentral.